Molecule: ribosomal RNA, 400 nt
Filed under: uncultured bacterium
Lineage: Bacteria
Description: bacterial SSU rRNA
Rfam family: Bacterial small subunit ribosomal RNA
Source: RNAcentral
UGAGGAAUCUUGCGCAAUGGGGGAAACCCUGACGCAGCAACGCCGCGUGAGUGAGGAAGGUCUUCGGAUCGUAAAGCUCUGUCAGAUGGGAAGAAAUGCACGGGGGCCAAUACCCCUCCUGCUUGACGGUACCAUCAGAGGAAGCACCGGCUAACUCCGUGCCAGCAGCCGCGGUAAUACGGGGGGUGCAAGCGUUGUUCGGAAUCAUUGGGCGUAAAGAGCGUGUAGGCGGCUUGAUCAGUCAGAUGUGAAAGCCCCGGGCUUAACCCGGGAAGUGCAUUUGAAACUGUCAUGCUCGAGUAGGGGAGAGGGAAGUGGAAUUCCUGGUGUAGAGGUGAAAUUCGUAGAUAUCAGGAGGAACACCGGUGGCGAAGGCGACUUCCUGGCCCUAUACUGACGC